CAUUACACAAAUAUGAAGGCGGGCUGGAACCUCUCGGGGUAACAGCCUUGCUGAAUUAUUCACCCUUGUCUUUUGCGUACUUCUUGUUUCCUUGGUGGGUUCGCCCACCACUAGGACAAACAUAAACCUUUUGUAAUUGCAAUCAGCGUCAGUAACAAAUUAAUAAUUACAACUUUCAACAACGGAUCUCUUGGUUCUGGCAUCGAUGAAGAACGCAGCGAAAUGCGAUAAGUAGUGUGAAUUGCAGAAUUCAGUGAAUCAUCGAAUCUUUGAACGCACAUUGCGCCCUUUGGUAUUCCAAAGGGCAUGCCUGUUCGAGCGUCAUUUGUACCCUCAAGCUUUGCUUGGUGUUGGGCGUCUUGUCUCUAGCUUUGCUGGAGACUCGCCUUAAAGUAAUUGGCAGCCGGCCUACUGGUUUCGGAGCGCAGCACAAGUCGCACUCUCUAUCAGCAAAGGUCUAGCAUCCAUUAAGCCUUUUUUUUCAACUUUUGACCUCGGAUCAGGAGGAUACCCGCUGAACUUAAGCAUAUCAAUAAGCGGAGGA
This 544-nucleotide ribosomal RNA is filed under the name Alternaria sp. RNAcentral's name for it is "eukaryotic LSU rRNA". The stretch from base 171 to 324 matches the Rfam family "5.8S ribosomal RNA". Lineage: Eukaryota; Fungi; Ascomycota; Dothideomycetes; Pleosporales; Pleosporaceae. The record is from RNAcentral.